Molecule: ribosomal RNA, 448 nt
Filed under: uncultured bacterium
Lineage: Bacteria
Description: bacterial SSU rRNA
Rfam family: Bacterial small subunit ribosomal RNA
Source: RNAcentral
UACCAGACUCCUACGGGAGGCAGCAGUGGGGAAUAUUGCACAAUGGGGGAAACCCUGAUGCAGCGACGCCGCGUGGAGGAAGAAGGUCUUCGGAUUGUAAACUCCUGUCCUUGGGGACGAUAAUGACGGUACCCAAGGAGGAAGCACCGGCUAACUACGUGCCAGCAGCCGCGGUAAUACGUAGGUGGCAAGCGUUGUCCGGAUUUACUGGGUGUAAAGGGCGUGCAGCCGGGCUGACAAGUCAGAUGUGAAAUCCCGCGGCUCAACCGCGGAACUGCAUUUGAAACUGUCAGUCUUGAGUACCGGAGAGGUCAUCGGAAUUCCUUGUGUAGCGGUGAAAUGCGUAGAUAUAAGGAAGAACACCAGUGGCGAAGGCGGAUGACUGGACGGCAACUGACGGUGAGGCGCGAAAGCGUGGGGAGCAAACAGGAUUAGAUACCCCGGUAAA